Molecule: unclassified non-coding RNA, 197 nt
Filed under: plant metagenome
Description: partial contains small subunit ribosomal RNA, internal transcribed spacer 1, and 5.8S ribosomal RNA
Source: RNAcentral
UCUCCGUUGGUGAACCAGUGGAGGGAUCAUUACCGAGUGCAAACUCAUAACCCUUUGUGAACCUAUAUCUGUUGCUUCGGCGGCUCGCUCUCGGGCGAGCCCGCCGGUAAUAUCAGUAUCUCUGUUUGAACCCGACGAUACUUCUGAGUGUUCUUAGCGAACAGUUAAAACUUUUAACAACGGAUCUCUUGGCUCUA